CCCUUAGAUGUUCUGGGCCGCACGCGUGCUACACUGAGUGGAUCAGCGGGUCAGGUUGCGCGAAAGUGUUUCCUAAUCUUGAAAUCCGCUCGUGAUGGGGAUUGACGGUUGCAAUUUUCCGUCAUGAACGAGGAAUACCUUGUAAGCGCGGGUCAUCAUCCCGCGCUGAAUACGUCCCUGCCCUUUGUUCACACCGCCCGUCGCUCCUACCGAUUGAGUGGUCCGGUGAGGCUUUGGGAUCUGAGCGGAAAGAGCGUUUCGCUGUUUCUGCUCGGAAAACUCAGUCGAACCUUAUCAUUUAGAGGAAGGAGAAGUCGUAACA
RNAcentral lists this ribosomal RNA (322 nucleotides) under uncultured eukaryote. RNAcentral's name for it is "partial 18S ribosomal RNA". It matches the Rfam family "Eukaryotic small subunit ribosomal RNA", at positions 1470 to 1796 of the family's 1831-position model. The record is from RNAcentral.